UCAAACUUGGUCAUUUAGAGGAAGUAAAAGUCGUAACAAGGUUUCCGUAGGUGAACCUGCGGAAGGAUCAUUUGAGAUUUAGUAAAUCCUAUCACCCGUGUGCAGCCUUACCAAGUCUGAUAUCCUUGGAGAGAUCAAUCUUGUUUGAGAUUCUCCAAGGAGGUUAUCACAACCAAUGUAUCUUUUCUUUACUCUUCUAUGUCUAAAUCAAUAAAUUUAAUUUGAAACAACUUUCAACAACGGAUCUCUUGGCUCUCGCAUCGAUGAAGAACGCAGC
RNAcentral lists this unclassified non-coding RNA (277 nucleotides) under uncultured fungus. RNAcentral describes it as "partial contains small subunit ribosomal RNA, internal transcribed spacer 1, and 5.8S ribosomal RNA". The stretch from base 1 to 73 matches the Rfam family "Eukaryotic small subunit ribosomal RNA", at positions 1759 to 1831 of the family's 1831-position model. Lineage: Eukaryota; Fungi. The record is from RNAcentral.